CCGUAGGAUGAACCUGCGGAAGGAUCAUUG
This 30-nucleotide ribosomal RNA is filed under the name Anthoxanthum alpinum. RNAcentral's name for it is "partial 18S ribosomal RNA". The record is from RNAcentral. Lineage: Eukaryota; Viridiplantae; Streptophyta; Magnoliopsida; Poales; Poaceae.